CCUAGUAAGUUUGGUGGGAAUUAUGAGUUAGUUUAAGGGUGUGGCAUGUCAUAUACAGAUCUUGCAGUACUGCACUACAGUUACACUGAUUUUUGGGAUACAAUAAGGUACCCUACAGUUAUAGACUCGGCUUUUGAGCCAUACAGUUAUUUGGCACUUUGUGCCCUACAGUUACAGUUUCCUUAACUGACUUAACAGUCCCAUUUAAAUUUAUAGGGGCCA
RNAcentral lists this long non-coding RNA (222 nucleotides) under Manihot esculenta (cassava). Its description in RNAcentral is "long non-coding RNA (MESC_LNC007713)". Lineage: Eukaryota; Viridiplantae; Streptophyta; Magnoliopsida; Malpighiales; Euphorbiaceae. The record is from RNAcentral.